GGGGGAAUAUUGGACAAUGGGCGAAAGCCUGAUCCAGCCAUGCCGCGUGUGUGAAGAAGGUCUUCGGAUUGUAAAGCACGUUAAGUUGGGAGGAAGGGCAGUAAGUUAAUACAUUGCUGCUUUGACGUUACCGACAGAAUAAGCACCGGCUAACUCUGUGCCAGCAGCCGCGGUAAUACAGAGGGUGCAAGCGUUAAUCGGAAUUACUGGGCGUAAAGCGCGCGUAGGUGGUUUGUUAAGUUGGAUGUGAAAGCCCCGGGCUCAACCUGGGAACUGCAUCCAAAACUCGCAAGCUAUAGUAAGGUAGAGAGUGGGGGAAUUUCCUGU
Molecule: ribosomal RNA, 327 nt
Filed under: uncultured bacterium
Lineage: Bacteria
Description: partial 16S ribosomal RNA
Rfam family: Bacterial small subunit ribosomal RNA
Source: RNAcentral